RNAcentral lists this ribosomal RNA (465 nucleotides) under Vreelandella stevensii. RNAcentral's name for it is "partial 16S ribosomal RNA". It matches the Rfam family "Bacterial small subunit ribosomal RNA", at positions 338 to 795 of the family's 1533-position model. Lineage: Bacteria; Pseudomonadati; Pseudomonadota; Gammaproteobacteria; Oceanospirillales; Halomonadaceae. The record is from RNAcentral.
CCUACGGGUGGCUGCAGUGGGGAAUGUUGGACAAUGGGCGAAAGCCUGAUCCAGCCAUGCCGCGUGUGUGAAGAAGGCCUUCGGGUUGUAAAGCACUUUCAGUGGGGAAGAAAGCCUUGGGGCUAAUACCCUCGAGGAAGGACAUCACCCACAGAAGAAGCACCGGCUAACUCCGUGCCAGCAGCCGCGGUAAUACGGAGGGUGCGAGCGUUAAUCGGAAUUACUGGGCGUAAAGCGCGCGUAGGCGGUCUGAUAAGCCGGUUGUGAAAGCCCCGGGCUCAACCUGGGAACGGCAUCCGGAACUGUCAGGCUAGAGUGCAGGAGAGGAAGGUAGAAUUCCCGGUGUAGCGGUGAAAUGCGUAGAGAUCGGGAGGAAUACCAGUGGCGAAGGCGGCCUUCUGGACUGACACUGACGCUGAGGUGCGAAAGCGUGGGUAGCAAACAGGAUUAGAUACCCUUGUAGUC